CCUACGGGAGGCAGCAGUAGGGAAUCUUCCACAAUGGGCGAAAGCCUGAUGGAGCAACGCCGCGUGGGUGAAGAAGGUCUUCGGAUCGUAAAACUCUGUUGUUAGAGAAGAAAGAGCGCGAGAGUAACUGUUCACGUUUCGACGGUAUCUAACCAGAAAGCCACGGCUAACUACGUGCCAGCAGCCGCGGUAAUACGUAGGUGGCAAGCGUUAUCCGGAUUUAUUGGGCGUAAAGGGAACGCAGGCGGUUUUUUAAGUCUGAUGUGAAAGCCUUCGGCUUAACCGGAGUAGUGCAUUGGAAACUGGGAGACUUGAGUGCAGAAGAGGAGAGUGGAACUCCAUGUGUAGCGGUGAAAUGCGUAGAUAUAUGGAAGAACACCAGUGGCGAAAGCGGCUCUCUGGUCUGUAACUGACGCUGAGGUUCGAAAGCGUGGGUAGCAAACAGGAUUAGAUACCCGUGUAGUC
This 465-nucleotide ribosomal RNA is filed under the name uncultured bacterium. Its description in RNAcentral is "partial 16S ribosomal RNA". It matches the Rfam family "Bacterial small subunit ribosomal RNA", at positions 338 to 795 of the family's 1533-position model. The record is from RNAcentral.